Bacillus anthracis str. 'Ames Ancestor' is the source of this 147-nucleotide regulatory RNA element. It matches the Rfam family "c-di-AMP riboswitch aptamer (ydaO/yuaA leader)". From Rfam's summary of the family: This family represents a conserved RNA structure found upstream of the ydaO and yuaA genes in Bacillus subtilis and related genes in other bacteria. The ydaO/yuaA element is thought to act as a genetic "off" switch for the ydaO and yuaA genes in its native state. It is believed that the element may be triggered during osmotic shock leading to activation of ydaO, a predicted amino acid transporter gene, and members of the yuaA-yubG operon which code for KtrA and KtrB K+ transporters. Lineage: Bacteria; Bacillati; Bacillota; Bacilli; Caryophanales; Bacillaceae. The record is from Rfam.
UUUUCUAAAUCGCUGAAACCGCAUGGUACGGGGGACCCGUUCUUAUGGAUUAGUUCUUAAUCCAAUGGGGUGAAUCCUUGAAAAAGGUAGGGCUACUCAUAGGCCCGAAUCCGACAGCUAACCUCGUAAGCGUUAUAUUGAGAAGGA